This 1015-nucleotide ribosomal RNA is filed under the name Triticum aestivum (bread wheat). RNAcentral describes it as "partial small subunit ribosomal RNA". The record is from RNAcentral. Lineage: Eukaryota; Viridiplantae; Streptophyta; Magnoliopsida; Poales; Poaceae.
UGCUCUUCCGCGGAAGGCUCGCAUCUUCCGGAGCUUUCAUUCCUCCUACCGAUACGAAUCGUCGGCUCAGCGCCAACCGAUCCAGACGCGAAUUGGUGAUAAGCCGAGGAAAAGAAAAAUCCUUUCUCCUUCCUCCCUCCCGCAGCUGCGAAUCUCCUCCGCGGCGGCCUCCUUCCUCGGAUCAAUCGCAUCUACUGCGAACGACCAGCCAUGGCCGGGAAGCUAAUUGCAAACCUUAUUGUCAUGGGCUCUGGGAUUAUAGGAAGAGCUAUGCUUCAGGCAUACCGAAAAGCACUUGAAAAUGCAAAUAAAACUGGUGUGGCCCAUGAAGCAGUCAACAAUAUCCGUAGGGCCAGCAAGACAAUGACCGAGCAAGAAGCGAGGCAGAUAUUGGGUGUGACUGAGCAGUCGACAUGGGAAGAGAUUGCACAGGUCUUCUCUUAUCUUCACUUGGCUCCUCGCUAUUCGCAUGUGCAGUGCUGACUACAACCCCUUAUCAACCAUGUUGAAUGCAGCGGUAUGACAAGCUAUUCGAGAGAAAUGCAACAUCUGGGAGCUUUUACCUCCAAUCCAAGGUUCACCGGGCCAAGGAGUGCCUAGAAAACGUGUACCAAAAGAACAAGCAAGAUGGAACUCCGACCUGAAAUUCGCAUCUUUAGAAUCCACUGCCUAGAUACUGUUACUAUACUCCCUUUGUAUCAAAAAAACGUCUUAUAUUUUGAUACAGAGGGAGUAUAUUCUUUCCUCCCUUUUGAGAAUGUACAUACCAACAAUGGUUGCUGCUGUUGUAUCAUCAAUAAAAAUUGAGCGCAGCGACGGUGAGCUCUUUAGAGAACUAAUUGUAAGCCAUCACUGAAUUCUCGUAUGGCAUUCAGUAUGAAAUUUUGUUGUUUUCGUUUGAUUAUUCCAUGAGCCGUAGCAGCCGUGCUCUUGCACUAUUGGUCCAUUCAGUGACAUCUUCAUUCAUGUGAAAAUGGAACCAUUUCUUCUCAUCGUUGGGAUAUUUUUCCGUCAG